RNAcentral lists this transfer RNA (84 nucleotides) under Ignavibacteria bacterium. RNAcentral's name for it is "tRNA-Leu". It matches the Rfam family "tRNA". From Rfam's summary of the family: Transfer RNA (tRNA) molecules are approximately 80 nucleotides in length. Lineage: Bacteria; Pseudomonadati; Ignavibacteriota; Ignavibacteria. The record is from RNAcentral.
GCUCAAAUGGCGAAAUAGGCAGACGCGCUGCAUUCAGAGUGCAGUCCGGAAUUCCGGGUGUGGGUUCAAGUCCCUCUUUGAGCA